This 468-nucleotide ribosomal RNA is filed under the name uncultured bacterium. Its description in RNAcentral is "partial 16S ribosomal RNA". It matches the Rfam family "Bacterial small subunit ribosomal RNA", at positions 28 to 507 of the family's 1533-position model. The record is from RNAcentral.
GACGAACGCUGGCGGCGUGCUUAACACAUGCAAGUCGAACGGAAAGGCCCUGCUUUUGUGGGGUGCUCGAGUGGCGAACGGGUGAGUAACACGUGAGUAACCUGCCCUUGACUUUGGGAUAACUUCAGGAAACUGGGGCUAAUACCGGAUAGGAGCUCCUGCUGCAUGGUGGGGGUUGGAAAGUUUCGGCGGUUGGGGAUGGACUCGCGGCUUAUCAGCUUGUUGGUGGGGUAGUGGCUUACCAAGGCUUUGACGGGUAGCCGGCCUGAGAGGGUGACCGGCGACAUUGGAACUGAGAUACGGCCCAGACUCCUACGGGAGGCAGCAGUGGGGAAUAUUGCACAAUGGGCGGAAUCCUGAUGCAGCAACGCAGCGUGCGAAAUGACGGCCUUCGGGUUGUAACCCGCUUUCGCCUGUGACGAAGCGUGAGUGACGGUAAUGGGUAAAGAAGCACCGGCUAACUACGUG